Molecule: long non-coding RNA, 366 nt
Organism: Canis lupus familiaris (dog)
Lineage: Eukaryota; Metazoa; Chordata; Mammalia; Carnivora; Canidae
Exons: 3
Source: RefSeq, a predicted model, not a curated record
AUUCCUCUAGGGGUUUCAAUGGCCAGCCCUGGGAGUAUCACACACCACCAGAACUUAGUCACAUGGGAUUUUUGGCUGCCAGGGAGGCUGGGCAAUGUGUGCUGAGAUCCUGGAUAGUUAUGAAUCUUUUGAAAGUAUUAGUGUUCCUGUCCUGAUCCUUAACCAACUUGAUGGUUGAAAAAGACACAUUAACAUAUAAAAGUGGCUGGCCUAUUGGACAUGUCUGGUCCUUUCUGUCAUCAAUCCUCUGGAGGCAUCAGAGAAUGAAUACUCAUCACAACAGCCCUGUUAUUUUCCUUGAAAACAUUGUGCCUGUAUGUUGAAAUCACAGUAUGCAAUCUAUUUAUUGAGUUGGUCACAAAGGAA